RNAcentral lists this ribosomal RNA (427 nucleotides) under uncultured bacterium. Its description in RNAcentral is "bacterial SSU rRNA". It matches the Rfam family "Bacterial small subunit ribosomal RNA", at positions 355 to 774 of the family's 1533-position model. The record is from RNAcentral.
UGGGGAAUUUUGGACAAUGGACGCAAGUCUGAUCCAGCCAUGCCGCGUGCGGGAAGAAGGCCUUCGGGUUGUAAACCGCUUUUGUCAGGGAAGAAACGAGUUUCUCUAAUACAGAGACUUAAUGACGGUACCUGAAGAAUAAGCACCGGCUAACUACGUGCCAGCAGCCGCGGUAAUACGUAGGGUGCGAGCGUUAAUCGGAAUUACUGGGCGUAAAGCGUGCGCAGGCGGUUAUAUAAGACAGAUGUGAAAUCCCCGGGCUCAACCUGGGAACUGCAUUUGUGACUGCAUGGCUAGAGUACGGUAGAGGGGGAUGGAAUUCCGCGUGUAGCAGUGAAAUGCGUAGAUAUGCGGAGGAACACCGAUGGCGAAGGCAAUCCCCUGGACCUGUACUGACGCUCAUGCACGAAAGCGUGGGGAGCAAACA